Molecule: ribosomal RNA, 725 nt
Filed under: Enterococcus faecium
Lineage: Bacteria; Bacillati; Bacillota; Bacilli; Lactobacillales; Enterococcaceae
Description: bacterial SSU rRNA
Rfam family: Bacterial small subunit ribosomal RNA
Source: RNAcentral
CCUAUACAUGCAAGUCGUACGCUUCUUUUUCCACCGGAGCUUGCUCCACCGGAAAAAGAAGAGUGGCGAACGGGUGAGUAACACGUGGGUAACCUGCCCAUCAGAAGGGGAUAACACUUGGAAACAGGUGCUAAUACCGUAUAACAAUCGAAACCGCAUGGUUUUGAUUUGAAAGGCGCUUUCGGGUGUCGCUGAUGGAUGGACCCGCGGUGCAUUAGCUAGUUGGUGAGGUAACGGCUCACCAAGGCCACGAUGCAUAGCCGACCUGAGAGGGUGAUCGGCCACAUUGGGACUGAGACACGGCCCAAACUCCUACGGGAGGCAGCAGUAGGGAAUCUUCGGCAAUGGACGAAAGUCUGACCGAGCAACGCCGCGUGAGUGAAGAAGGUUUUCGGAUCGUAAAACUCUGUUGUUAGAGAAGAACAAGGAUGAGAGUAACUGUUCAUCCCUUGACGGUAUCUAACCAGAAAGCCACGGCUAACUACGUGCCAGCAGCCGCGGUAAUACGUAGGUGGCAAGCGUUGUCCGGAUUUAUUGGGCGUAAAGCGAGCGCAGGCGGUUUCUUAAGUCUGAUGUGAAAGCCCCCGGCUCAACCGGGGAGGGUCAUUGGAAACUGGGAGACUUGAGUGCAGAAGAGGAGAGUGGAAUUCCAUGUGUAGCGGUGAAAUGCGUAGAUAUAUGGAGGAACACCAGUGGCGAAGGCGGCUCUCUGGUCUGUAACUGAC